UACGAGGGGGGCGAGCGUUAUUCAAAAUGACUGGGCGUAAAGAGCAUGUAGGCGGUUUAUUAAGUUGGUUUUGACAAAAAUCAAAAGCAUUUUAGCCUCGUACUUUUAGUAUGUGGUAAGCGCCCUUUUUUUGGAUGCUUAGUGUUGUGAUAAAUUCCAAAGCUUAACUUUGGUGAAGCACCCAAUAUUAGUAGACUAGAGUAAGUGAGAGGAAAGUGGAAUUCCUGGAGGAGAGAUAAAAUUUGUAGAUAUCAGGAGGAACAUCGAAAGCAAAGGCAACUUUCUAGCACUUGACUGACGUUGAGAUGCGAAAGCGUGGGGAGCAAAAGGG
RNAcentral lists this ribosomal RNA (331 nucleotides) under uncultured prokaryote. Its description in RNAcentral is "bacterial SSU rRNA". It matches the Rfam family "Bacterial small subunit ribosomal RNA", at positions 524 to 776 of the family's 1533-position model. The record is from RNAcentral.